This 74-nucleotide transfer RNA is filed under the name Spirochaetales bacterium. Its description in RNAcentral is "tRNA-Arg". It matches the Rfam family "tRNA". From Rfam's summary of the family: Transfer RNA (tRNA) molecules are approximately 80 nucleotides in length. Their secondary structure includes four short double-helical elements and three loops (D, anti-codon, and T loops). The record is from RNAcentral. Lineage: Bacteria; Pseudomonadati; Spirochaetota; Spirochaetia; Spirochaetales.
GCGCUUGUAGCUCAAUUGGAUAGAGCGUCGGACUUCGAAUCCGCAGGUUGCACGUUCGAGCCGUGUCAGGCGCG